This 498-nucleotide ribosomal RNA is filed under the name uncultured bacterium. Its description in RNAcentral is "partial 16S ribosomal RNA". It matches the Rfam family "Bacterial small subunit ribosomal RNA", at positions 28 to 507 of the family's 1533-position model. The record is from RNAcentral.
GACGAACGCUGGCGGCGUGCCUAAUACAUGCAAGUCGAACGAGAGCGACCGGUGCUUGCACUGGUCAAUCUAGUGGCGAACGGGUGAGUAACACGUGGGUAACCUGCCCAUCAGAGGGGGAUAACAUCCGGAAACGGAUGCUAAAACCGCAUAGGUCUUCGAACCGCAUGGUUUGAAGAGGAAAAGAGGCGCAAGCUUCUGCUGAUGGAUGGACCCGCGGUGCAUUAGCUAGUUGGUGAGGUAACGGCUCACCAAGGCCGUGAUGCAUAGCCGACCUGAGAGGGUGAUCGGCCACAUUGGGACUGAGACACGGCCCAAACUCCUACGGUAGGCAGCAGUAGGGAAUCUUCCGCAAUGGACGCAAGUCUGACAGAGCAACGCCGCGUGAGUGAAGAAGGUGUUCGGAUCGUAAAACUCUGUUGUUAGAGAAGAACAAGUGCUAGAGUAACUGUUAGCGCCUUGACGGUAUCUAACCAGAAAGCCACGGCUAACUACGUG